AUACCUCCCUUGCCUGAAAGCUUAGCUUCUUCUUGAUUUGAUAGGCUUUCCCUCUAAGGCCCCUCCCUUUUCCCCUUUUAUAAUGGGGGGCUCAGGCCCCGACCUUGUGACAGCCCAAAAUUGACCCUAGUCGGGAAGUGGUUUCGGGACCACAAAACCGAGUCAUAAUAAUAAUUAGCCAUCAUAUUUGAUGCUUAUUAUAUGUAUAUAUGCAUGUGUGAAAAUUUCAUGUUUGAAUUUUGUUAAUUGUAAGUGAAUUUUAUUAAAUAGGACUUAUGUGAGAUAAUUUAGAAAUGUGCUAGGCAAAAGUGAAGUGGCCUAUUAAUGCAUGUUAUGAAAAUGAUGGGUUUGCAUGUCAAAUUACCCAAAAUUUGAGCUAGUGGCCGGCCAUGCUAUGGGUGGAAACAUGUUGGGAACAUGUUGGCUUAGUGUGUUAUGUGAGAAAGAAUAAAUAAAGGGUUAGUAAUUAAGUAAUGAAAAGGGAGGGGUGAUGAAAACAAAGUUGUCUCAUCCAUCCCACCCCCUCCAUUUGCCGUAACUAGACAAAGAAAAGAAAAAAAAAAGAAAGGGUGUUCAUCCUUUAACACCUUGGCCGAAAAUUUGAAGGAGGAAGGAAGAAGAAAGGUUGAAGAGAUUCGGCCAUGCAUGUAACUAGGCUAAGGUAUGUUUGAUGAUGUUCCAUGAGCUGCAUGCAUGUUUUAGUUGUUAGUUUGAGUUCUACCUAGCCCAUGGUCUAAAUCUUGCUAUGUGAUGGAGAUGAUAUUCGGCCAUGGGUGUUGUCUUUCUUGGUUGGUGUUUUGAUGUUGUGGUGAUGAGGCAUGAAGAUGAUUGAGCUUGAGUGUUUAAUAAAAAGGUUUGGAUGUGAGAGUGUGUGAGGAGUAGAAAUGAGGGGUCUUAGCAACUUCAUGAAGGUUCGGCCAUGGUGCUUCAAUAUUGCACUCGUGUUUAACCCUAGGAUUAAUUAGUUAUAUGGUUAGUAUGGGUAUGGGUGACCGAAUAUGAGAGCAUGAAUAGAUGGAGAGUUUGGUGAAUCGAUAUGUGGUAAAUGUUAAGUGUUAAAUAAGAUAGAAAUGAUAGAUUAAUGUUGCACAUUCGGCUAUAGUUAGGCAUGUUGAUGAUCUUAUCUUGACUUAGAUAAUUAGGCAUAAAAGGGUGGUAAUGAGGUUGAGGUUGUUGAAUGGUUAGUUGGGUAACAAAUGAAGCAUUCGGCCAUCACUUGGGAGCUUAUGUGAUGUUGAGUUUAAAAUUAGCAAAGGUGAUUACCGAAUGUCCAAGUAUGCAUACGCAUGUGUGAUUAGAUUAUUGAUAGUAUGGUAAUUGCAUGAGGUUAUUAGCCGAAUAGCUAAGAACAUAAAGUAGCAAGAUGAAAAUUUUACCAUGUCAUUUCGUAUGUCAUAAAAUCAUUAAAAUGUGGAUACCAAUAUAUGUAGCAAAGCGGUUAAAUGAGUUAAUUUAUUUGUUUAAGCUCAAGACUCUAAAGGAGAGGCAUCCAACAAGGGAAAAUCGAAGGUCAUCGAGUAGCCGACUUGGAACUAUUUUACCUAACACAAGGUAAGUCAUUAAGCAUAUCUUUGGUAUUGAUUUAAAUGAUCGUAAUACCUAUGCAAUUGUGUUUAAUGAGAUGAAAUGUAUACAAAUGUAUAUGUAUGUAGAGAUGAAAUUUGUCGAAUGUAAAAAGGAAGUGAAGCCUAUAGAGUGGCUGGUUUUCGGCACUAAGUGUGCGGGCAAUAAGUGUUCACGGUUGUGAGAUUGGCACUAGGUGUGCGAACUUGAAAUGCAUGGCACUAAGUGUGCGAGUUUAAAGUACAUGGCACUAAGUGUGCGUGGUUGAUUAUUAAGCACUAUGUGUGCGAACCCACUAUAUAUAUAUACUUUCUAUAAAUUAUUUACAUUAAUAAUGCGACAUUACCGAGUUGAUUUUGGACAGUGGAAAAAGGUAAGUACCUUGAGUUCAUGGCUAAUAGGCGCUACGUUUAUAUUUGGAGUUGAGCUUGGUAAGUUUUGAACCUAUGUGACAAUUAUACUUUAAGUCACGUAUAUAAGAUUUAUCGUGGAAUAGGUGAAAGGUCGUCUAGUUGUAUGAUUGUAAUGAAAAUAAAAUGAUGUAUGAAAAUGCCUCAAAUAUCCUAUCAAUUAGUAUAUGGAAUGUGAAUGCAUGACUUGGUAUGAGAUGGAACCGAUAGGCCUAAGGAACUAUGGUAUGGUUCGGUGUGGAUGGAGUAACUAGCCUCGUUCCAUUUUGUUUCCUCUUGUGAUAAUGUUAUUGGUAUGGUUCGGUGUGGAUGGAGUAACUAGCCUCGUUCCAUUUUGUUUCCUCUUGUGAUAAUGUUAUUAAUGGAUGGUAGUGCAUUGCUUAUGACUUACUGAGUUAUAUACUCACUCGGUGUUUUCCUUGUCACCUAUUUUAGGCUUCUUGGAUUCGUUUCCUUCGCGUGGUCGGGCCGUCAUCGAAGUCAUCACAGCAGCUAGCAAGUUUUGGUACUUUCUUCUUAGUCGGCUUAGGAGAACAUUUCGGCGUGUAUAGGCUAUUAUGUUGUGUUUGAACUUUGGUAUGUAAACUUUUAGCCAUGCGAAAAUAGCAUAAAUGUUCGGUUGGAUUUGGUUUUAUAAUGUUAGGUCGUAAGUCUGGGUAAUUCGAUUUUUUUUUAUGCCAUAUGUCAUGGUUGAUUAUUUUUGGUGUUAAGAUUCAUGAUAUGGCAAUAGUGUAGUAGGGAGAUGUUUGACAAUGAUUAGCCUUUGGUAUGGCUAGUCAUGAUUAUAAUUUUGUGAUAUGUAUGAUGAAUUACUAGUUAGAUCAAUGAGAAAUCACGAAAUAGGCAUAGUUGCUUCAGUAACAGGUGCUUGCAGCAGCAGUGACGUGAGAUUGAAAAAUUACAAAAAUUAUUAGGAACGGAAUUAAAUAGUGAAUAAAUUAUGUAAUCGAAGCUCGAUGAGUCUAUUUUCAUAUAGAAGUAACGAAACAAUCAUAUGGACAGUAUGUUAAGAGAUAUUCAUGUUCUCGUGAGACAGGGCCAGAACGGUUUCUGGAUUCCCUAUUCCGACUGUGGAAAUUCAUUAUAAAUUAACCAGAGAUAAUUAGGAGUCAUGCCAUAUAUGUAUAGAUUCCUCUAUGAGUCUAGUUUCUAUAGAAAUAAACGGCAUCGGUAUUGAAGCUCUGUGCAGGGAGUUAUCCAAAUUGUAAUGCAUGAAGGUCAGUGUAGUCGCACCCUGUAAUAGGGGAGAAUUUAACUAAUAAACUGUACUAAUUGGCCCAACCAAAAAUUCUACAAAAAUUCUACCAUAUAGGUAUAUGAGUCUAGUUCUAGGGAAAAUUUACAGAACUGGAUUUCGAGUUUCAGAACUCAAGAUAUGAUUUUUAAAGCGACUAGUAUGCAGAUUGGCAGCUUGUCUAGGAAAUGUCAAAUAAGUGGUUUGAAGUCUGUUAACACCUCGUGUUCGACUCCGGCGACGGUCUCGAGUUCGGGGUGUUACAAUUUUAUUGGUAUCAGAGCUAUGGUUUAGUCGGUUCUAGGACUACCAUAGCGCGUAUGAGUCUAGCUAUACAUGCCUUAAUGUUAAUGUUUAAAUGUGUGAUGACUUCUGACGGUUAAAAUUUUUUUGUUUUGAUUAGUAAAUGGACCCCGGUGUAGAAAGAACCUUAGCGGAUGACGUUGAAAGUGUAGCGGCUGCUCCUGCACAAGGGACACCGCCUGUUGAACCUCAGUCAUCUGCGAAUAAUCAAGGUGAGGGGGCUAAACAAGCCUUCUUUACCAUGAUGAAUGAGUGGGUCGCGCAAUAUGCCCGAACCAAUCCGGCUGUCCAACAAUUCCCGGAUUUGAAUAAUCCACCCCAAGAGCCCGUAAUGCCAUCAGUCACUGAUCCUGUGAGGCUGAGUAAGCCACCUGUAGACUUGAUUAGGAAGCACGGGGCUGAGGAGUUCAGGGCCAUAGUUACUGAUGAUGCUGAAAGGGCCGAGUUCUGGCUUGAUAACACCAUUCGGGUGUUUGAUGAACUGUCAUGCACACCCGAUGAAUGUCUAAAGUGUGUUAUAUCCUUGUUGCGGGACUCAGCCUACUAUUGGUGGAGGACCCUGAUUUCCAUAGUCCCAAACGAACGAGUUACUUGGGACUUCUUUCAAACGGAAUUCCGAAAGAAAUAUAUUAGUCAACGGUUCAUUGAUCAAAAGCGCAAGGAAUUCUUGGAACUCAAGCAAGGCCGUAUGACAGUAUCUGAAUAUGAACAUGAAUUCGUAAGACUCAGUAGGUAUGCCCGGGAGUGUGUAGCUGAUGAGGUUGCUAUGUGCAAGAGAUUCGAAGAAGGAUUGAAUGAAGAUUUAAAGCUACUAGUGGGUAUUUUGGAGAUAAAAGAAUUCGUAACACUAGUCGAACGAGCCUGCAAGGCGGAAGAACUUGGAAAGGAAAAGAAGAAGGCUGAAUUUGAAGCUAGAGACUAUCGUAAAAGAUCGACGGGUAAAGCUCCGUUCUCAGCUGUAAAGAAGUUCAGGGAGGACACUAAUAAGUCGAGGGCGACUGCGGGAAUUUCCAUCAGAGCACGACCCUCGACGGACUCCCGAGCUACUUCGGUAGCUAGUGUGGGCAAUAAUCGUCAAGAGAAACCUGAAUGUCCCCAAUGCGGAAGACGACACCUAGGUGAAUGUUGGGGUAAGUCUACUAACAGGGCCUGUUACGGAUGCGGUUCGAAGGACCACUUCAUUAGAGAUUGCACGGAGCUUGAUGAGAAGAAUAAGAUUCAAGGUGCAAAACCUAGUGGAGUGACAACUAAAGGUAGACCACCGAGAAUUUUAGGAGGUAGGGGUGGUAGUCAGAGAGGAGCCUCUGAUACGACUGUUCGAGCCGAGAACCGCAUAUGCCAUUCGCGCACGAGAGGAGGCAUCCUCCCCUGACGUCAUCACUGGUACCUUCACUCUCUUUGAUACUAAUGUGAUUGCAUUGAUUGACCCUGGCUCUACUCAUUCAUAUGUAUGUGAAACCUUAGCAUUCAGUAAGACUCUACCUGUUGAGUCUACUGAGUUUGUAAUUUGAGUGUCAAAUCCUUUGGGUCAAUACGUACUUGUUGAUAAAGUGUGUAAGAAAUGCCCUCUAAUAAUCCGAGAAUCCUGUUUUCCGGCCGAUUUGAUGCUUUUGCCGUUUGACGAAUUUGAUGUUAUUCUUGGUAUGGAUUGGUUGAUCGUACAUGAUGUAGUGGUGAACUGCAAAAGAAAAACCAUCAAUUUGAGGAGUGCAAAUGAUGAGGUAGUCCGAGUUGAGUCUACCGAUUGGAAGGGGGUGCCAGUGAUAAUAUCUUCAAUGACCGCUCAGAGAUAUAUGAAAAAGGGUUGUGAAGCAUACCUUGCGUAUGUAUUUGAUAGCAAAGAGACGGAAAGGAAACUUGAAUCAGUACCAGUGGUUUGUGAGUAUUCAAAUGUUUUUCCUGAGGAGUUACCGGGGUUGCCACCGGUUCGAGAGGUGGAAUUCGGCAUCGAGAUUGUACCUGGUACCACGCCGAUCUCAAUAGUCCCAUAUCGUAUGGCAUUAACAGAAUUAAAGGAAUUGAAAGUUCAAUUGCAAGAAUUAACGGAUAGAGGUUUUGCUCGACUAAGUUUCUCACCUUGGGGAGCACCAGUAUUGUUCGUGAAAAAGAAGGACGAAACCAUGAGGUUGUGCAUUGACUAUCGUCAACUGAAUAAAGUGACGAUAAAGAAUAAAUAUCCGUUACCACGUAUUGAUGAUUUGUUUGAUCAAUUAAAGGGAGCCUCAGUGUUUUCAAAGAUAGAUUUGAGAUCGGGUUAUUAUCAGUUGCGGAUUCGAGAUUCGGACGUACCCAAAACUGCUUUCAGAAUGAGGUACGGUCACUACGAGUUCUUAGUGAUGCCGUUCGGGCUCACUAAUGCCGCUGCGGUAUUUAUGGAUUUGAUGAAUCGGAUCUUCAGACAGUAUUUGGAUCGGUUCGUAGUUGUGUUCAUUGACGAUAUCUUGGUCUAUUCAAGAGAUGAGACCGAACAUGCUGAACACCUGAGAUUAGUGUUGCAAAUUUUGCGGGAUAAGCAGUUAUAUGCGAAGUUCAGUAAGUGUGAGUUCUGGUUAAGAGAGGUUAGCUUCUUGGGUCAUGUGGUAUCCGCAUCGGGUAUUCGAGUUGACCCGAGCAAAAUUUCAGCCAUACUUAACUGGAAGCCUCCAAGAAAUGUUACCGAAGUUCGGAGCUUCCUAGGGCUCGCCGGUUAUUACUGACGAUUUGUAAAAGGUUUCUCGAUGAUAGCCACACCAAUGACGAAGCUACUUCAAAAGGAUGCUAAGUUCGAAUGGACGGAGAAAUGUCAGAAAAGUUUCGAUCAACUGAAAACUUAUUUGACUGAAGCUCCAAUUUUAGUGCAACCCGAAUCAGGCAAAGAGUUUGUCAUUUAUAGUGACGCAUCCCUACUCGGGUUGGGUUGCGUAUUGAUGCAAGAAGGUCGAGUUGUGGCCUAUGCGUUGAGACAAUUGAAGCCACACGAGAGAAAUUAUCCAACCCAUGAUCUCGAACUAGCCGCCAUCGUAUUUGCUUUGAAAAUAUGGCGACAUUAUUUGUUUGGCGAAAAGUGCCAUGUAUUUUCGGAUCACAAAAGUCUCAAAUAUUUGAUGACUCAAAGAGACUUAAAUCUGCGACAAAGAUGUUGGCUUGAGUUGUUGAAAGAUUACGAGCUUGUCAUUGAUUACCACCCGGGAAAGGCUAAUGUGGUUGCGGACGCCUUAAGCCGGAAAUCACUGUUUGCUUUACGAGCGAUGAAUGUGCACUUGUCUGUUCUACCCGACAAUGUGCUAGUAGCUGAAUUAAAGGCCAAACCGUUAUUGAUUCGUCAAAUUAGUGAAGCUCAGAAAGUCGACAAUGAAUUGGUUGCAAAACGGGCUGAAUGUGUUCCGAAUAUGGAAUCUGAAUUUCAAAUUGAUGAUGACGAUUGUUUGAGAUUCAGAAGUCGUUUGUGUGUUCCAAGGAAUUCGGAACUCAUUUCGAUGAUUCUGAACGAAGCCCAUUGUAGCCGAAUGUCAAUUCACCCGGGGAGUACGAAAAUGUACAACGAUUUGAAACGUCGGUUUUGGUGGCAUGGUAUGAAACGGGACAUCUCCGACUUUGUUUCGAGAUGUUUAAUAUGUCAACAAGUGAAAGCAGAACAUCAAGUGCCUUCAGGAUUACUUCAGCCGAUCGUGAUACCCGAGUGGAAAUGGGAUCGAGUCACAAUGGACUUUGUGUCCGGACUACCAUUGUCAGCAAGUAAGAAGGAUACGAUUUGGGUUGUUGUUGAUAGACUGACUAAGUCGGCUCACUUUAUCCCCGUGCGUACGGAAUUUUCAUUGGAUAAAUUAGCCGAAUUGUAUGUUUCUCAGAUUGUGAGAUUACACGGGGUACCUAUUUCUAUCGUGUCGGAUAGAGAUCCGAGAUUCACCUCACGAUUUUGGAAGAAAUUGCAAGAAGCUUUGGGUACCAAGCUGCAUUUUAGCACCGCUUUUCAUCCCCAAACCGAUGGUCAAUCCGAGCGGAUAAUUCAGAUACUCAAGGAUAUGCUGAGAUGCUGCAUCCUUGAGUUUAGUGGUUCAUGGGAACGGUAUUUACCUUUGAUUGAAUUCGCUUACAACAAUAGUUUUCAAUCAAGUAUUAAUAUGGCACCUUACGAGGCUUUGUACGGUCGUAAAUGCCGUACACCAUUGUUUUGGACCGAGCUCGGUGAAAGUAAAAUUUUUGGAGUCGAUUUGAUUAAAGAUGCCGAACAGAAAGUAAAGGUAAUCCGUGAACGUCUAAAGGCAGCCACAGAUCGUCAGAAAUUGUAUGCGGAUUUGAAACGAAAAGACAUUGAAUAUCAGGUGGGAGAUAAAGUGUUUCUUAAAGUUUCGCCUUGGAAAAAGGUACUCAGAUUUGGCCAAAAGGGCAAGUUGAGUCUGAGAUUCAUUGGGCCAUACGAAAUAUCCGAACGAGUCAGUCCAGUUGCGUAUCGAUUGAUUUUACCCCCUGAACUUGAAAAGAUUCACGACGUCUUUCAUGUUUCGAUGCUUCGACGCUAUAGAUCUGAUCCUUCGCACAUAAUUAGUCCGUCGGAGGUUGAAAUUGAAGCCGAUUUGAGUUAUGAAGAAGAGUCGAUGCGUAUCCUAGCUCGUGAAGUGAAGGAGUUGCGAAACAAAAGGGUUCUGUUAGUAAAGGUGUUAUGGGUCAAACACGGGAUCGAGGAAGCUACUUGGGAAACCGAGAGCUCGAUGAAAGAACGAUACCCAAACCUAUUUACCGGUAAGAUUUUCGGGGACGAAAAUUUCUUAAGUGGGGGAGAGUUGUGACAGCCCAAAAUUGACCCUAGUCGGGAAGUGGUUUCGGGACCACAAAACCGAGUCAUAAUAAUAAUUAGCCAUCAUAUUUGAUGCUUAUUAUAUGUAUAUAUGCAUGUGUGAAAAUUUCAUGUUUGAAUUUUGUUAAUUGUAAGUGAAUUUUAUUAAAUAGGACUUAUGUGAGAAAAUUUAGAAAUGUGCUAGGCAAAUGUGAAGUGGCCUAUUAAUGCAUGUUAUGAAAAUGAUGGGUUUGCAUGUCAAAUUACCCAAAAUUUGAGCUAGUGGCCGGCCAUGCUAUGGGUGGAAACAUGUUGGGAACAUGUUGGCUUAGUGUGUUAUGUGAGAAAGAAUAAAUAAAGGGUUAGUAAUUAAGUAAUGAAAAGGGAGGGGUGAUGAAAACAAAGUUGUCUCAUCCAUCCCCCCCUCCAUUUGCCAUAACUAGACAAAGAAAAGAAAAAAAAAAGAAAGGGUGUUCAUCCUUUAACACCUUGGCCGAAAAUUUGAAGGAGGAAGGAAAAAGAAAGGUUGAAGAGAUUUGGCCAUGCAUGUAACUAGGCUAAGGUAUGUUUGAUGAUGUUCCAUGAGAUGCAUGCAUGUUUUAGUUGUUAGUUUGAGUUCUACCUAGUGUCACGGGCCAAAGUGCAAAGCCCGUGACCAUGCCGCAAGUAGCGCCCCAUGGAGGUCUAUCGAUUAGAUGGGGGACAUUCAGCCCACAAGAACUGGCCCGAUUCAAAGAGCUACUAAAUAAGCCUAUCAGAUUGAAGCCUGGUUGGCCCAAUGAUGAAGACAUGGCAACUUAGGCAAUUUUGGUAACUAAUCUUAGAAGAUAGAAUAGAAUCAUAUCUUGUAAGAUUAGAUUAGAUUUGAUAAGGUAAAUCUUGUAAAUCCCUAAAAUCAAGGGAUAUAGUGAAUCUCAUCCGUCGAUGUACAUGUAUCUUGACCGUCGGUUUUGGGGGGAGCUCAACUAUAAAUAGAGAGCCUCCCCCUCAUUUGUAAAUCAUCCAUUGUAACUUGAAUUCUUAAGAGUUAUAGAAUUCUUGAGCAUUUACUCAAACACUUUGUGUGCUUUCUUUCUUUAGCUUUCUGUUGUUCUCUUGUGGCUUCUUUUGGCACAAUCGCUUCCGCUAUAUAAAUUGGUGCCUUGGAGGAGUUCUAAAAGAAUCCUCUCUUUUGGGGAAUAAGGCUGACUUGGGCGAGUUUGGACGAACGGAUCACCUAAGGCCGCACGGAUUGCGAGACGAAAGGUCUAGCCCCGUGACAAGUGGUAUCCGAGCCAAGUUUUGAACCAAAUUAUUCGAGUGGUUCGAAGGCACUGUUGGGAUGUCGAAAGAAGUCGUUGGUCAGAGUGAGCCAAUGGAGACCCGUGGGAGGGCUAGAAAAGCCAGUCGCUCGAGGGAAAUGCUGACAGCUUUGGAGAAUCGAGUGGUCAAUCUUGAGGAAUCCGUAGGGAACGUGAAAGAGACGCUUGAAUUGGUCGAGGGACGCACAGAUGGGUUAGACUCAAUGGAGGAGCAACUCAGAGAUUUUGUGUUAGAUUCUCUCGGUGCAAAUAGGGAAAAGAUAACGGAAUUACUCGAGUCCACUGAGGUAAAGCUGGCAGAGAGGGAUGAAGCUCCCGAGGAUAUGGUGCUAGCCAUGCAGAAAGAAAUGGAGGAGCUCAAAGGGGAGCUCGCGAUUUACAAAGCCACUUUGAGUAAUGGGAUGUUGUCUUCAAGGCCGAAGCAACAUGCAAUGGAUGUUCCCAAACCGGAGAAGUUUAAGGGUGCACGAUCCGCGAGGGAUGUGGACAACUUCUUGUGGGAAAUGGAGCAAUACUUCCGAGCGAUGGGCAUCGAGGAUGAUGGCAUUAAGGUAAACACUGCUUCGAUUUACUUUUCUGAUGUUGCUCUCUUGUGGUGGCGACGUAGGUCCACGGAUGAGAAAUGUGGAGGAACGGCUAUUGGAACUUGGGAGGAGUUUCAAGGAGAAUUGAAGAAGCAGUUUUACCCUCAAUAUGCCGAGAAGGAGGCUCGGGCUAAAUUGCGUCGUCUCACGUAACAAGACACUGUUCGGGAGUAUGUGCGGGCAUUUAGCGAGUUGAUGCUUCAAAUCUCCGACUUGAGUGAGAAAGAAGCAUUCUAUUGGUUCGAGGAUGGGUUAAAGCCUUGGGCAAAGCAGGAGUUGCGAAGGCAAGGAAUCACCGAACUUACUGUAGCCAUGGCCGAAGCAGAGUCCUUUGUUGAGCUUGAUCCGGCGGGAGACAAGCUUGAGGCAUCUAAGCCCAAUGGAAGGGGAAAUGGUGAAAGAAACCAUGAAGAAGAUGAAAGGGGACAUAGCGAUGGGGGCAACAGUACUGAUAGCACAAGUGGCAAUGGGAAACCACGAGAUGCGAAGCGGGGAUUAGACAACCCAAGGGACAAGAGGAAGAAGAUGAAAUGCUUCCUUUGUCAAGGACCACACAUGGCGCGUAAAUGUCCAAAUAAAGUGAUGAUUUCGACAAAGAAUGAUGAGCCGAAGGAGGAGGCAAAGCCUACCGAGGGAAACACAUCGAAAGUCAAUUCGAUGGUGCUCAUUCCUGGGAAGAGGAAUGGAAAUGGGUUGAUGUUUGUGGACGUCAACAUUGCGGGUCAGAAGCGGAGUGCUCUUAUUGAUACGGGAGCAUCGGACUUGUUCAUGUCGGAAAAGGCUGCGAAGAAGCUUGGUCUAUCAAUUAGGAAAUCGAAUAAGAAGAUCAAGGUAGCAACUUCUGAGAAAGCCCCAACUGUGGGAGUAGUUCGUGAUGUGGAACUACAAAUCGGCGAAUGGAAGAGCAAGGAAGAAUUCGAGGUAAUCCAAUUAAGUGAUUACGAUUUUGUGCUUGGCUUAAACUUCCUUGUUAGGAUUCAGGCAACUUUGCAACUAGGGGCCGAUCAAAUCCAUAUUGCCACCGGUCCAUCAACAAAGAGUAUUGUGCCGGUGCAUCGGGAUGUGAAAGUUGGGACUAAGUUGUUAUCGUCAAUCCAACUAGUCGAAGAUGUUUCGUAUGGGAGAAACAUUAUAUCGGCAAAACGGAAUGCUACGAAAGCCUCUUCGGAAGUGUUAGUGGCGCAAGGGACCGAUAUGAAGCCUGCGGGAUCGACUGUAGAGCUGACACCUUUGGGAAAGGUGGGUUGUGCAUCGGGCUUCAAGGGAAAAGGAGCGAUGCAAGGACAGUCGAGACGAGUAAAUGCUACGAGUAAGGUGCAUUGCAAACACUCUGAUAGUGUUUUGAAUUCUGACUUGUUGGCUUGGCAAGGUCGUAGGGGCCCUUUCAAAGUUCAUAAGCGAGGAGGCCAAUGAGCUGUGGGCGGUACGAAGCCGAGGUAUGAGAAUCGAGGGGAUUCCAACAGAAACAAGUCAAAAUUGGGGCAAGUUAAAGCGGAGACUACUUGCCAACAGAAUGUACCAACGAGUGGAACGGUUCAAGAUAAGAGGCGACGGAAGUCGAGGCAUAAGUUCCGAAGAAAGGGACAACCUGAUCGCAAGACGAGUCAGGAAGAAGCCGAGGCAAUGAAAGAGUUUCACAGUGAAUCAAGUCAGUGUCAUCCAGAAAACGCAACGAGGGCGUUGCGAGAUUGGGUGGGGGAGAAUGUCACGGGCCAAAGUGCAAAGCCCGUGACCAUGCCGCAAAUAGCGCCCCAUGGAGGUCUAUCGAUUAGAUGGGGGACAUUCAGCCCACAAGAACUGGCCCGAUUCAAAGAGCUACUAAAGAAGCCUAUCAGAUUGAAGCCUGGUUGGCCCAAUGAUGAAGACAUGGCAACUUAGGCAAUUUUGGUAACUAAUCUUAGAAGAUAGAAUAGAAUCAUAUCUUGUAAGAUUAGAUUAGAUUUGAUAAGGUAAAUCUUGUAAAUCCCUAAAAUCAAGGGAUAUAGUGAAUCUCAUCCGUCGAUGUACAUGUAUCUUGACCGUCGGUUUUGGGGGGAGCUCAACUAUAAAUAGAGAGCCUCCCCCUCAUUUGUAAAUCAUCCAUUGUAACUUGAAUUCUUAAGAGUAAUAUAAUUCUUGAGCAUUUACUCAAACACUUUGUGUGCUUUCUUUCUUUAGCUUUCUGUUGUUCUCUUGUGGCUUCUUUUGGCACAAUCGCUUCCGCUAUAUAAAUUGGUGCCUUGGAGGAGUUCUAAAAGAAUCCUCUCUUUUGGGGAAUAAGGCUGACUUGGGCGAGUUUGGACGAACGGAUCACCUAAGGCCGCACGGAUUGCGAGACGAAAGGUCUAGCCCCGUGACACUAGCCCAUGGUCUAAAUCUUGCUAUGUGAUGGAGAUGAUAUUCGGCCAUGGGUGUUGUCUUUCUUGGUUGGUGUUUUGAUGUUGUGGUGAUGAGGCAUGAAGAUGAUUGAGCUUGAGUGUUUAAUAAAAAGGUUUGGAUGUGAGAGUGUGUGAGGAGUAGAAAUGAGGGGUCUUAGCAACUUCAUGAAGGUUCGGCCAUGGUGCUUCAAUAUUGCACUUGUGUUUAACCCUAGGAUUAAUUAGUUAUAUGGUUAGUAUGGGUAUGGGUGACCGAAUAUGAGAGCAUGAAUAGAUGGAGAGUUUGGUGAAUCGAUAUGUGGUAAAUGUUAAGUGUUAAAUGAGAUAGAAAUGAUAGAUUAAUGUUGCACAUUCGGCUAUAGUUAGGCAUGUUGAUGAUCUUAUCUUGACUUAGAUAAUUAGGCAUGAAAGGGUGGUAAUGAGGUUGAGGUUGUUGAAUGGUUAGUUGGGUAACAAAUGAAGCAUUCGGCCAUCACUUGGGAGCUUAUGUGAUGUUGAGUUUAAAAUUAGCAAAGGUGAUUACCGAAUGUCCAAGUAUGCAUAUGCAUGUGUGAUUAGAUUAUUGAUAGUAUGGUAAUUGCAUGAGGUUAUUAGCCGAAUAGCUAAGAACAUAAAGUAGCAAGAUGAAAAUUUUACCAUGUCGUUUCGUAUGUCAUAAAAUCAUUAAAAUGUGGAUACCAAUAUAUGUAGCAAAGCGGUUAAAUGAGUUAAUUUAUUUGUUUAAGCUCAAGACUCUAAAGGAGAGGCGUCCAACAAGGGAAAAUCGAAGGUCAUCGAGUAGCCGACUUGGAACUAUUUUACCUAACACAAGGUAAGUCAUUAAGCAUAUCUUUGGUAUUGAUUUAAAUGAUCGUAAUACCUAUGCAAUUGUGUUUAAUGAGAUGAAAUGUAUACAAAUGUAUAUGUAUGUAGAGAUGAAAUUUGUCGAAUGUAAAAAGGAAGUGAAGCCUAUAGAGUGGCUGGUUUUCGGCACUAAGUGUGCGGGCAAUAAGUGUUCACGGUUGUGAGAUUGGCACUAGGUGUGCGAACUUGAAAUGCAUGGCACUAAGUGUGCGAGUUUAAAGUACAUGGCACUAAGUGUGCGUGGUUGAUUAUUAAGCACUAUGUGUGCGAACCCACUAUAUAUAUAUACUUUCUAUAAAUUAUUUACAUUAAGGAUGCGACAUUACCGAGUCGAUUUUGGACAGCGGAAAAAGGUAAGUACCUUGAGUUCAUGGCUAAUAGGCGCUACGUUUAUAUUUGGAGUUGAGCUUGGUAAGUUUUGAACCUAUGUGACAAUUAUACUUGAAGUCACGUAUAUAAGAUUUAUCGUGGAAUAGGUGAAAGGUCGUCUAGUUGUAUGAUUGUAAUGAAAAUAAAAUGAUGUAUGAAAAUGCCUCAAAUAUCCUAUCAAUUAGUAUAUGGAAUGUGAAUGCAUGACUUGGUAUGAGAUGGAACCGAUAGGCCUAAGGAACUAUGGUAUGGUUCGGUGUGGAUGGAGUAACUAGCCUCGUCCCAUUUUGUUUCCUCCUGUGAUAAUGUUAUUAAUGGAUGGUAGUGCAUUGCUUAUGACUUACUGAGUUAUAUACUCACUCGGUGUUUUCCUUGUCACCUAUUUUAGGCUUCUUGGAUUCGUUUCCUUCGCGUGGUCGGGCCGUCAUCGAAGUCAUCACAGCAGCUAGCAAGUUUUGGUACUUUCUUCUUAGUCGGCUUAGGAGAACAUUUCGGCAUGUAUAGGCUAUUAUGUUGUGUUUGAACUUUGGUAUGUAAACUUUUAGCCAUGCGAAAAUAGCAUAAAUGUUCGGUUGGAUUUGGUUUUAUAAUGUUAGGUCGUAAGUCUGGGUAAUUCGAUUUUUUUUUAUGCCAUAUGUCAUGGUUGAUUAUUUUUGGUGUUAAGAUUCAUGAUAUGGCAAUAGUGUAGUAGGGAGAUGUUUGACAAUGAUUAGCCUUUGGUAUGGCUAGUCAUGAUUAUAAUUUUGUGAUAUGUAUGAUGAAUUACUAGUUAGAUCAAUGAGAAAUCACGAAAUAGGCAUAGUUGCUUCAGUAACAGAUGCUGGCAGCAGCAGUGACGUGAGAUUGAAAAAUUAGAAAAAUUAGUAGGAAUGGAAUUAAAUAGUGAAUAAAUUAUUUAAUCGAAGCUCGAUGAGUCUAUUUUCAUAUAGAAGUAACGAAACAAUCAUAUGGACAGUAUGUUAAGAGAUAUUCAGGUUCUCGUGAGACAGGGCCAGAACGGUUUCUGGAUUCCCUGUUCCGACUUUGUAAAUUCAUUAUAAAUUAACCAGAGAUAAUUAGGAGUCAUGCCAUAUAUGUAUAGAUUACUAUAUGAGUCUAGUUUCUAUAGAAACAAACGGCAUCGGUAUUGAAGCUCUGUGCAGAGAGUUAUCCAAAUCGUAAUGCAUGAAGGUCAGUGUAGUCGCACCCUGUAAUAGGGGAGAAUUUAACUAAUAAACUGUACUAAUUGGCCCGACAAAAAAUUCUAAAAAAAUUCUACCAUAUAGGUAUAUGAGUCUAGUUCCAGGGAAAAUUUACGGAACUGGAUUUCGAGUUUCAUAACUCAAGAUAUGAUUUUUAAAGCGACUAGUACGCAGAUUGGCAGCUUGUCUGGGAAAUGUCAAAUAAGUGGUUUGAAGUCUGUUAACACCUCGUGUUCGACUCCGGCGACGGUCUCGGGUUCGGGGUGUUACAGACCUACUGCCCUACACAAUACCGACAUCAGCCGUCUCAAAGCUUCAGGCUUACCUGCAAUCAACGAUUAGUUGAAGUGAAAAGGCUUUGUCUCCCUCUUUACCGAAAUAA
RNAcentral lists this long non-coding RNA (15280 nucleotides) under Gossypium barbadense (sea-island cotton). RNAcentral's name for it is "long non-coding RNA (GBAR_LNC012350)". The record is from RNAcentral. Lineage: Eukaryota; Viridiplantae; Streptophyta; Magnoliopsida; Malvales; Malvaceae.